CUUCUCCAGACCAUUGGCAAAAGAAUGAAACCCAGAAUUGGGGCAAAUUAACUUCAUUUCUUGGAUCUGAUCAGGCAUCAACCAUCUUUCUCUCUUUUUUUCUUUUCUUUGGGCUGGGUCACAAUUUUUUUUUUCCACUCUUUCUCUCUUCUUCCUUUUUUCUUUUCUCUCUUCUUCUUCCUUCCCCUGCUGGUAGAUCAAGGGUGGGCAGGCUGUAGGCUUGCUGCGCUGGGUGGGCUGCGCAAGCGCAGGCGCGGGACGCAGGGCUGCUGAUGCUGGGGCAGUAGCGCGGAGGGAGAUGUACGCGCAGAGGGGGGGCUAGGCGAGGCUGGGCAGCGCUCGCCCUGGUGUGCUGGUCUGGCCGGCUAUGGGGCUUCGCG
RNAcentral lists this long non-coding RNA (380 nucleotides) under Rosa chinensis. Its description in RNAcentral is "sRNA RchiOBHm_Chr5g0057121". Lineage: Eukaryota; Viridiplantae; Streptophyta; Magnoliopsida; Rosales; Rosaceae. The record is from RNAcentral.